UCCCAAUUCCCUCCUCCCCUCUCUCCAAGAUCUGUUUCUCUUCCAUUUCCUUUCAGGAAAGAGCAAGCCUCCCAGGGAUAUCAAUUAAACACAGUAUAAUAGGAUACAAUAAGACUAGGCACAAACCCUCAUAUCAAGGCUGGACAACACAACCCAGUAGGAAGAAAAGGGUCCUAAGAGCAGAUGAAAGAGUCCAAGAUACCACCCACUCCCACUGUUUAGAGUCCCAUAAAAGCACUAAGUUAAACAACCACAACAUAUAUGUAGAAGACCUAGAGCAGACCCACACAGGCUCCAUGAUUGCCACUUCAGUCUCUGUGGGCCCUUAAGAGCCCUGUUUGGUUGAUUUUGUAGACUGUGUUCUCCUGGUAUUCUCAACCCUUCUGACUGCUAAAAUCCUUCUUCCCCCUCUUCCAUAGGGUUCCCCAAAUUCCAUCUAAUGUAUGUCUGUGGGUCUCUGCAUCUGCUGCCAUCAGUAGCCAGACAAAGCUUCUCUUGGACUAGGCACUGAUCUAGGAGCACAGCAGAAUAUCAUUAGGAUCAUUUCAUUGACUUUUUUGCCAGUCAUUUUUGGUUUUAUCCUGGACUCUGGGCUAUCCAGCCUCUGGUUCCUGGCCAUCCAGGCAGUGUCAGGCACGGGCUUACGUUCAUGGUAUGGGCCUCCAGUUAGACCAGUCAUUGGUUGUCCAUUCCUGUAAAUUCUGUGCCACCAUUGCCCCAGCACAUCUUGUGGGCAGGACAGAUUGUAAAUGGAAGUUUUCGUGUCUGGGUUGGUGUCCUAGUCCCACCACUGGAACCCUUGCCUGGUUACAGAAAGUGGAUGGUUCAGGCUCCAUAUCCCCCAUUACUAGGAGUCUUCACUAGAGUCACCCUCAUAGAUUCCAGAGAGUUUCCACUUCACUAGUCUUCUACAUCAACCCUUUAAGGCCCCCCCCAAUUCCAGUCAUCUCUCCCAGUACUCUCUCCCUCCAUCCCUCCCCCUCAGCUGAUCACUCCUGUUCCUGUCCCCUCCAGGCCCCAGUCCACUCACAAAAUCUUUUCUAUAUCCCCACUACAAUGAACAAACCCAGAGAGACUUAAGGUGUUUUUAAAGGCAUGCAUUGCAAUUAUCAUAACUGUUAGUGAUAUCCAAAAGGCCAUGCAAGGCCAAAGGACAUCAGGUCCAACACUUGACUAGAAAUAGGCAACAAAUCUGUAGCAUAUUCUUUUAGAUAGCUUACUUGCCCCUCCAAGAAAGGCCAGGUCUCAUGUCACAGAAUAUCAUGGCAGAAGACUUUGGAGACCUUCUUCUGGUUCUACUAAAUAGGUCAAUUUAGUUGACAUAACUGCAUACUGCAGUCUCCUUCAUGUUUCACUCUGUCUCUGACAUCUUGGAAAUGCAAGUAUAGCUCAACACAUUCCCCCUAACGUCUUGCUUUUUUAUCUUUCAUUUUUCCAUGUUCUUCUCAUAUGUUCUUAAAGCUUCAAUAGUGGUCCACAGUCCAUUCCUCUUCCCUAGUCUCUUUUUAAGCAUCACAUCCACUUCUCUAUCCUGUGUUUUCCCUUACAUGGUUUUAUUUUGGACAUGCACAUUUUCCUCCAGCAUAAUCUAUCCCUAUUCUAAUUUCCAAGCUCAGUAAUGUCAAUCAAUCUUGUCAAGUCACUCAAGCUGGAAAUAUUUAAAUCGCUUUUCUGGUUCUCUCAAAUCCGUCUGCAACCACAGUAUCCAGCAUAUGGCCUUUGCAGUUUGUUAAACUUCCCCAUUCUGCAAUUACCUUUGCUCAGAUCCCCUUAACCUCCCAUGUAGCUACUAAAAGUCGCCCUUACUGCCUGAUUCCUUCCCUCUUCAUUAACCCUCCACACUGGGAGAAAUAGCCAAAUGUACCAAAAACCUAUUUCCAACAUUGAAUGUUGCAAUAAAGUGGUACCAUCCAUCUGAGCAGUGCUCAUAGACAUGGAGAAAACACUAGGAUUAUGGAUAGACAAACUUUUAGAAUAAAUGAGAGUUUUAAGCACAGUCUCUAGUGGUUAACAAUGUGCAGGACAUAAAAGCUUGUGACAGUUGUAAGUCACACUAAAUGAAAAACUAAUGAAAGAUCAGAAGCUAUUUAUCUUGAGAGAAAAGACUGAAGGGAGACAAAAUAGCUGCCUUAAAAUAUUUAAAAGUAUAUAAUACAUAGGUGAGUGCCAGAAGUAUCUAAUGCUAUACCAGGAGGUGGAAGUUAUUGUAAAACAUGUUCCUAUUGAUAAAAACAAAGUAUUUUGACAAUAUCAGCUUGGACUCAGUGGGCACACUACUCCCUCUUCAUUUCGUAAGAAACAGGCUUAGUUGCAUAUGAGGUCUUGUGCCCAAAAUUCUGGCAUGUAGAAGGAAGAAGCUGAAUGUUCAGGGGAUAAGGCCAGUUUCAACUUCUGAGGUCAGUCUGAGCUGCCAUGAGACUGUGUCUGAAAAACAACUAAAGAUAAAACAGGAAGAAAGAAGCAGAUUUCCCAACAGUGGUGCCCUGGUAGAAGACGAGGAGAAUGAAGGAUAAGAGAUAAGAAGAGCUAUCCCAACUUCAAUUUUUCAAUUGAAUUUUAUUGCACUUAGGGGAAUGUGUGAAUAGUGUUUAGUCCUUGUAUUAGAUGCUUUUCUCUUUGAGUUUAUGCGAGUGAUGAAAUACCAGACAACGAAUGACUGAAGAGAGGAAGAGUUUGCUUGAGCUCUCUGUUUGAAGUUACCGUGGUGGCGAGGAAGGUGUGGCAUCAGGAACAUGAGACAUUGCGCCCCCACUCAGCAAGGUUUUGUUCUGUCUGAAGCAGUUAAAAAGUGAUGGCCAUGGCAGGUUAAGUCUGAGGGCAGAAAACAAGGAACUUGAUAAGUGGACUGCAGUAUUAGAGGAGAUGCUGACGAACAAUACCUAAAGAACAACAAAAAAUAGAAAACACGAAUGUUCUGCCCCUUUGUCCUGAAUGCACCCUUCUUGUACUUAGAAAUGGUCAGCCUGACUCCUAAAGAGGAUCAUUGUUCUCAAUUUGAAGAACAUUAAAAGAGCCUUCAUCCAGUAACUGAUGGAAGCAGAUGCAGAGAUCCACAGUGAAGCACCAGGCCAAGCUCCAGGAGUCCAGUGGAAGAGAGAGAAGAGGGAUUCUAUGAGCAAGGGGCAUCAAGAUCAUGAUGAAGAAACCUACAGAGACAACCAAACCAAACUACUGGGAACUCAUGAACUUUAGAGCAACAGCUGUGGAGACUGUAUGGGACUGGACUAGGCCCUUUGCAUGAGUGAGACAGUUGUGUAGCUUGAUCUGCUUAAGGGGCCCCCUGGCAGUAGGAUCAGGAUCUAUCCCUGGUGCAUGAGCUGGCUCUUUGGAGUCCACUACCUAUGGUGGGACACCUAACACAGC
Molecule: long non-coding RNA, 3363 nt
Organism: Peromyscus eremicus (cactus mouse)
Lineage: Eukaryota; Metazoa; Chordata; Mammalia; Rodentia; Cricetidae
Exons: 4
Source: RefSeq, a predicted model, not a curated record